This 250-nucleotide ribosomal RNA is filed under the name uncultured bacterium. RNAcentral describes it as "partial 16S ribosomal RNA". It matches the Rfam family "Bacterial small subunit ribosomal RNA", at positions 524 to 773 of the family's 1533-position model. The record is from RNAcentral.
UACGGAGGGGGCUAGCGUUGUUCGGAAUUACUGGGCGUAAAGCGCGCGUAGGCGGCUUUGUAAGUUAGAGGUGAAAGCCCGGAGCUUAACUCCGGAACUGCCUUUAAGACUGCAUCGCUAGAAUUGUGGAGAGGUAAGUGGAAUUCCGAGUGUAGAGGUGAAAUUCGUAGAUAUUCGGAAGAACACCAGUGGCGAAGGCGACUUACUGGACACAUAUUGACGCUGAGGUGCGAAAGCGUGGGGAGCAAAC